CUGGGUUAUCAGCCACGACAGCAUAUUGCCGACGUUAUUGGAUUUAUGCAUGGAGUUGCGGAUACCGUUAAUACACAUACCUGUUAUUUGUGAAACCGGAAAUUAUUGUAUAUUUCGCUUCUUGUAAAGUCUGGAGCAUUUGGGUAAUUACGUGUGCUGCAAGCUUCAAACUGUGCUUCCCGGGCUGCAGAAUGCCUAUUGUAGAUGUUCUUCAGAGGGUUAGCGACGACGAAAGCGCGUUGGUGGAAGAUUACCGAGGGCUUGCAGGACGUGGAGUUACACCUUCAUCGAAGCAAGAAAUUAUCGAAGACAGAAGCUCCGUUAAAACAAGAGUUCCCUCACGAGUAUGUGGAAAGGAGAGAGACGGACGUGAAGUGAAAAGGGAUUCAAUUCCAUAAAUUGAUCCAGUCAGAUUUACUCUGGAAUGAACUGAUAGAUGAAUAUUGAUCUGUAUUAUUAUAUAGCAUUAUUAAAGGAAGUGAACUGUGAACAUUCUCAUUUAUGACCUUGUUUGCUCAUUAAGGUUAAAACAUACUGUAACCACGAGGGUUACAA
This is a long non-coding RNA of Dreissena polymorpha, 555 nucleotides long. RefSeq lists it as uncharacterized. NCBI's taxonomy places the organism in Eukaryota, Metazoa, Mollusca, Bivalvia, Myida, Dreissenidae. The record is from RefSeq and is a predicted model, not a curated record. The transcript is spliced from 4 exons.